RNA transcript from Anopheles arabiensis, 5460 nucleotides. It is a transcript of the gene named prosaposin, with no coding region annotated. The record is from RefSeq and is a predicted model, not a curated record. The transcript is spliced from 6 exons. NCBI's taxonomy places the organism in Eukaryota, Metazoa, Arthropoda, Insecta, Diptera, Culicidae.
UAAAACAUCAAACUUGAUACCAAAAGUGCAUGUGCAACUACUCAAACGAGACGUAUUAAAGGUAGUUAUGUGAAUUGCUCUCAAAGCGAUAAUUAAAUUGGUCCUGUGUAUGAUUAAAUUCAUAUUUAAGAAAAUUUCAACGUUUUCUCUUCGUUAGCACGGUGCAGCCGUGUCUUAGUGCAUUUUUUUAAAAAUUGGUUGGUUCAUUAUUUGCGUCUUUGGAAAUUGUAUUUGGCGUUAUCGGUGAUAAUGAAGUCUCGUUUGCUGGGGCUUGUUUGCCUUGUUAUGCUGGCAAUAAAUCCCGUGCAAUCUUCACCCGUAAAACAAACAAUUAACGGCAACAAAAUUCUGUUAGGUGCUAAGGAAUGCACUUGGGGGCCAUCUUACUGGUGUUCUAAUAUCGAGAAUGCUAAGACAUGUGCCGCUGUAUCACACUGUAUUCAAACAGUUUGGGAAAAGCAGCACUAUCCGGUGGAUAAUGAUGAGAUCUGCAACAUUUGUCUGGACAUGGUGAAGCAGGCACGUGAUCAACUGGAGAGCAAUGAAACGCAGGCCGAUUUAAAAGCCGUCUUCGAAGGUUCCUGCAACUUGAUUCCGAUAAAGUUAGUGAAAAAAGAAUGUCGCAAAUUAGCUGACGAUUUUAUACCCGAGUUAGUGGAGGCUCUCGCUUCGCAAAUGAAUCCAAACGCUGUAUGCAGCGUAGCUGGGCUAUGUAACAAUGCCGCCAUUGAUAAACUAUUAGAAGAGAUGAUAGUAUUAAACCCUGAACAGGAAGUACAAGGCAUUGAAGCGAAUGAGAGGGAACCUGCAGUAACUGGUGAUACUUUCAACUGCGACGAGUGCCAUACGAUUUCCAACCUAAUUCAAAAACGCUUCCGUUCGACUGAUCGGGAUAGCGUUUUGGAGAGUAUACUACAAAUCUGCGGCAAAAUGUCAUCAUAUUCGGAUGCUUGCUCGAACAUUGUGCUGACAUACUUUGGGGUGAUGUAUGAGCAUUUGGAACGUAAUUUAAAAGUAGAAGGCGUGUGUCAUCUUAGUGGAGUUUGCGCAGCGCAGUUCCAUCUACAUGAAAAUAACAAACGAAAAGAUCUGAUUGAGGCGAGAUCAAUGGGAGAUGUCGGUAUACUACGAGUGGCUGGCGACGAUGUUCCGUGCAAACUAUGUGAGCAAUUGGUGGAUCAUUUGCGCGAUGUUUUGAUUGCGAAUACGACUGAGUUAGAGUUUAAAGAGGUAUUGGAGGGUCUGUGUAAUCAGACCAAGAGUUUUGCCGAUGAAUGCCAUAGUCUUGUUGAACAAUACUAUCGUGAAAUCUAUGAGACCUUGGUGAACAAUCUGAAUAGCAACGAUGCGUGUUUCAUAAUUGGUAUCUGUCCGAAGGAAGACGGUGUGGUCAGUAAUGGCAUAGUCAUGCCUUUGUUAUCGGUGGCAGUUGCGGAUCGACAUGAACGGACCGAGAUGUACAAACGAAUGAAUCGCCCAUUGCUAGGACAUAACGAACUUAUACUGUCGGCAUCAGAAGUGCAGCAGGCUCAGCUACCGAUUGAUCGUAUUAUGAGUGCACCUAGCGGCCUAAACUUGAUCGAGAACGGCAAAUUCUGCACAUUGUGCGAGUACUUUAUGCAUUUCGUACAGGAAGCAUUAAGCGAACCAGCAAAUGAGGAUGAAAUUAAAAAAGUAAUCGAAGUCACAUGUAAUCGAUUGCCGUCGUCUAUUCGCGGUGAAUGCCAUAACUUUGUAGAUGUUUACGGCGAUGCAGUUAUAGCACUGCUUAUUCAAUCGAUAGAUCCGCGCCAGAUUUGUCCAACUUUGAAGAUGUGUCCAACUGCCAGCUUAGAUGUCGAGAUAUUUGCUCCAGCCCCGGUCGAGGUAUCCAUUACAGCGCGGGGUGAUAAAGACAAACCAACUUGUCCACUCUGCCUUUUUGCGGUUAGUCAGCUGGAGGAGUCGGUUAAAACAGAUCGAUCGAAGGAAAAUAUCAAGAGUGCACUGAAUAAACUUUGCACGCACUUGUCACCCAAGCUACGCCUGGAAUGCAAUGAUUUUGUUGACACAUACACAGCUGAACUUGUCGAAAUGCUUGCAUCUGAUUUCACACCACAAGAAAUCUGUGUUUUCCUUAAGCUUUGCGUUGACCAACGCCCAGAUCUUAGUCUUCUCGGUAUGGAACUUGACUAUGAGAAGCGUUCAUCGCACCAAAAGUCAGACAUAUUAGUAUCCUCAUCAGGUGACAUUGAGACAAAUGAAAUACCUGACAUUACUGUCAACGGAGAAAUUACGAUUGAUCACACACUGAUGAGUAGUUCACCUGAGUGUCUUGUUUGCCAGGAGAUGGUCAAAGAAGUCGAGAAACGGGUGCAAAAUAAAAAAAGCAAGGAACAAAUUAAACAGGCUCUAGAACACGCAUGUGAUCGUCUGCGGAAAUAUAAGACCAAGUGUGAGAAAUACAUCGAUCAGCAUAGUGACCAAAUCAUUGAUCUGGUAAUGAAACAGCUUUCUCCAAAGGAAAUUUGCAACGCGUUGGGAUUCUGUAUUCCUGCUCAAGAAAUCAUCGAUGACUUAGUAAUAGAUGAGGCGCUAUUCGAAUACUUCGGGGAAGAUGGAGUCAUAAAAUUUACUAAGGAUUUUUUGAUUUCAUCAAAGCGUGUCGAUACAGGUUUGGAGAAGAAUCAACCAGCUCAGUGUGCAAUCUGUGAAUUCAUAAUGGUCAAGCUAGAAUCGGAACUAGCUGACAAUAAAACUCGUACUGAAAUCGAAAACGCUGUUCGAACCGUUUGUGAUAAGAUGCCAGGCACAAUUACCAAACAAUGCGACAAAUUGAUCGAUCAAUAUGGCGAGUUCAUCAUCAAAUUCCUGCAGACGUUACCACCUAAAGCAAUUUGCACCCAACUGGAUUUAUGUAAAGAACAACUAAGUCGCUUAAAGCAAUCUGAACUUGAAAUUGUAAAAUGCGCUGUUUGCCACGGCGUUGUUAAAAAUCUUUAUGAAUUGAUGGCUAACGAUGACAUAAAAGGCCAUGUAAUGAACAAUGUGAAUAGUGUUUGUAAUUCACUUCAGGGAGAUUACUUCACACUGUGUGAGAAGCUGUUCACUAUGUAUGGUAUGAAUAUGAUGUACCAGCUGAAGCAUUCCGUUCGAAAGGAAUACGUGUGCAUUAACAUCAAUAUGUGCAGUAAGUCAACACUGCUGACACUUCCAGAAUUCGCUUCAGACGAGCAUGCUGUGGAUCAAUCUUUUAAAGCGCGUGUAGAAAAUGAGGAAACUAUGUUAGUCAGAAUAAACUAAUGUAGUUUGGGAUCGGCAUCCUGGCGGAAAAAUAAAUGUAAUGCACUAAAGUGCAAGAUCAGGAAUUAAACAUAUUUCUUUGGUGGUAACAGCAAUCAAAACGAGCUGAAACAAGCAUUAACAGUCUGUUUCCAAGUUACGCGGUUCUCGACUUACGCGGUUUCGGAGAUACGCGGUUUUCUUAAUUUGACAGAUCAAAUGUCAAAUCUGUGCAAUAUGCUUCAAUAAUUGUACAAUGUAGUAUAAAUUAAUUUUUUGCUGAUAAAUUUAAUCCUCUUAAAAGCCCAAAAUGGAGCCCUUCACGAUUCUAGUUAGUUUUUUGUAUGGAGUUUGACAGUUGGAGGCUGAAAUCAUGUAAACACUCCAUACAAAACCACACAUAAAACUAGCCAGCAAUUUUCAGUCUAGAUUAUUCUAGCCUAGCCUCGAAGCUAGAAUUAGAUUCUGGCACUUUUUCUAAAAAAUGGCGUGUUUUCUGUAUCCCAAGGUGCAUUGAAGAGAUCAGGUGAUGGAAUCUAGAACCAAAGUGUAUGUAGUCCAGGUGGUUUCAUAGCAUGUUUUUAUAACCAAACUUGAAUAUCACUUUUUGCCAGGAUGGAUGAAAACUUUUGUUCAAACAAGCAUUCGUAAGGCUUGACGAACACACAAAACAUUCUAAAAGACUUCUUUAGGAAAAAUAAGCGAUAAGCGAAAAUCAGCCUUUUAAAUACAUACACCUUGGGAUAAGCCCACCUGUAUAUUAUACCCACUUAGAUAGCUGCUCGAACAGCUGUACAUUGAAAACAGCUGACAGGUUGAAAUAUCAACGUACAAAGUUAAAACGGAAAGGGCUUGUAUAUUAUACCCACUAAGAUAGCUGCUCGAACAGCUAUACCAUGAAAACAGCUGACAGGUUGAAAUUUUAAGAUACAAACUUAAAACGGAAAGGGCACCAAUAUCAGAAUACUCAGCAAGAAUCGUAUCAAAAAAUGAAUAUGUGUAUAAAAGUCUUAAUAUAAAAGUACUAACAUAAAAGUACUAACUGUUAUAUUGAAUGAACAUUACCGAGUAAUCAACUUAUUUUAGCCGAAAAUCGUGAAAUUCGACUUACGCGGAUAUUCGAGAUACGCAGAUUCCUCGGGAACGCAGAAACUGCGUACCUCUUUCUUUUCAGGGCUAGGGUGUAUUAUUAAUGUGUAAGCAUUUAAAUGUAUAUUCAAAUUUUAUUGACUUGUCUUAUAAUAGCUGGCAUCGCGAAAGAAAUGGUUUAAAGUUAACAGUCGUUAAAAAUUAACCAGAGUUAAAAUUUGCUAGAAUAAGGCAUCUGGGCAAUAAGAACUGUCAAAAGGGUAUGCGAUACAAAUUAAAAGUCGUUAUGCGAACACACAUUCAAGCCUAUUAUUUUACUCGAAUGACUUUCGAUUCCGUCGGAAGCACUCGAGUCGAACGGGAGAAAAUUUGGUAUCGUGUUCACCAUUCGAGCCGAUGAAAGUUUCGUCGACUUUUUGCCGGCUGUCCACAGCUGUCAUUUUGAAAAUAGCGAAGCAAGCAUUGAGGCAAAGCGUUUGUAAACGAACUGAAGCGAUAGAACUUUUCAUCAUGAUUAAUGCGUAUGUUGUUGAACAUAGUGUAAAUGAUAAUGAUAAUAGUGAAAAUGAGCCGGUUCGUAAUUUAAGUGUGCAUCGUUGAUUGUUGAGAAAUGCUUCUGUUGUUACGCCUGGUAACAAUCCGUUUAUUUUCGGUAGCUUUGCAGACUUUCUUGUAACUGGCUCUCGCGUAUAGGGUUUUCGCUGCACAGUUCAAAAAAUAGUCUUUCUUCUUUCUAUGUAAGUUUGCUACUGUCCCUUUUACGAUGGCGGCAUUUUACUCGAUCAGCUGAUCUCCUUGACCUCGUUUGCCCUUAAGUUGACCGUAGAUGAACUAUUUCCUAAUUGGCCCUAAUGUUGGAGAUCUAGCUGUCUCGUAUUUUCGUCCUUGUCUGUAUCUGUAUAGCGCCAUCUGAGGGAUUUAUUGCGACUUAUUCGAGCUAUUAUCAAGAUAGCUCGAUAUAUGUCAACAUUCGCCUGACAGAUCUCGUACGAGGUCGAUAUCGUGCCAACAGCUUCUGAUCCUCUAGAUCUGCCGGAUCCAGCGUAAGUUUGGUUUGGGCAUUCAUUAGAAUUUGUUUUAAUUAAAUAUGUUUGUAUUUUACGCAGGUUC